This 254-nucleotide ribosomal RNA is filed under the name uncultured bacterium. Its description in RNAcentral is "partial 16S ribosomal RNA". It matches the Rfam family "Bacterial small subunit ribosomal RNA", at positions 524 to 776 of the family's 1533-position model. The record is from RNAcentral.
UACGUAGGGUGCGAGCGUUGUCCGGAAUUAUUGGGCGUAAAGAGCUCGUAGGCGGUCUGUCGCGUCGGUCGUGAAAACUUGGGGCUUAACCCUGAGCUUGCGGUCGAUACGGGCAUGACUGGAGUUCGGCAGGGGAGACUGGAAUUCCUGGUGUAGCGGUGAAAUGCGCAGAUAUCAGAAGGAACACCGGUGGCGAAGGCGGGUCUCUGGGCCGAUACUGACGCUGAGGAGCGAAAGCGUGGGGAGCGAACAGG